UGGACCAAUGAUGAUGAUUGCCAGUGUAUGAUUCUUUGAUGAAUAAUAUGUGUUUGGAAGUCUGAGGUCCAA
Non-coding RNA from Otolemur garnettii (small-eared galago), 72 nucleotides. The record is from Rfam. Lineage: Eukaryota; Metazoa; Chordata; Mammalia; Primates; Galagidae.